RNAcentral lists this transfer RNA (85 nucleotides) under Felis catus (domestic cat). It matches the Rfam family "tRNA". Rfam says of the family: Transfer RNA (tRNA) molecules are approximately 80 nucleotides in length. Lineage: Eukaryota; Metazoa; Chordata; Mammalia; Carnivora; Felidae. The record is from Rfam by way of RNAcentral.
GCCUGGCUGGCUCAGUCGGUUGAGCGUCCGACUUCAGCUCAGGUCACGAUCUCCCGGUUCGUGAGUUCGAGCCCCGCGUCAGGCU